This 508-nucleotide long non-coding RNA is filed under the name Arachis ipaensis. Its description in RNAcentral is "long non-coding RNA (AIPA_LNC002077)". Lineage: Eukaryota; Viridiplantae; Streptophyta; Magnoliopsida; Fabales; Fabaceae. The record is from RNAcentral.
AAAUAUUUUAUUGUAAUUAUAUCCCUCUCACCGGCACCGCAGCAGUCGUCGCGUCGCGCGCCUGAGAAACCUCAGAGAACGUUGUCGUCGCGCGAGAGGCAGCGCGGUCGCCGUCGCCGUCUUCGUCGCGUGAGAGGCAGAACCGUCGCCGUUUUCGUCGCGUCAUCUUCGUCGCCGUUCAGAGGAGAGUCAUCUUCGUCGGCGUCCAGAGGAGAGUUCAGCCUGACAAUAUUACCAUUUUGCCCUUCAUUCUCAGAGAGAUUGCACAGUAGCUGAAAGCCUGAAACAGUGAAAACAACACUCUCCUCAGAAACCAGCAACUCAACUAACUAUUCAAUACAUCACAAAAACAGAACCUUUCAUUCUCUUUCGUUUUGUGUUGUAUUGUUCAUUACUUCACUGCCAAUAAUUCUUCUCGCAAUUUCCUUUUCCCGGGAAAAAAAAAAGUAUCCUUUUUCUCAACCAACAACAAGGUUUUGUUUCCAGUGGGUCCUCCUCGAUCUUGUGG